UCUCCGUUGGUGAACCAGCGGAGGGAUCAUUACCGAGUUUACAACUCGCAAACCCAAUGUGAACGUUACCAAACUGUUGCCUCGGCGGGGUCACGCCCCGGGUGCGUCGCAGCCCCGGAACCAGGCGCCCGCCGGAGGAACCAACCAAACUCUUUCUGUAGUCCCCUCGCGGACGUUAUUUCUUACAGCUCUGAGCAAAAAUUCAAAAUGAAUCAAAACUUUCAACAACGGAUCUCUUGGUUCUG
This 245-nucleotide unclassified non-coding RNA is filed under the name plant metagenome. RNAcentral's name for it is "partial contains small subunit ribosomal RNA, internal transcribed spacer 1, and 5.8S ribosomal RNA". The record is from RNAcentral.